UACGUAGGGCGCAAGCGUUGUCCGGAAUUAUUGGGCGUAAAGAGCUCGUAGGCGGUUUGUCGCGUCUGCUGUGAAAACCUAAGGCUCAACCUUGGGCUUGCAGUGGGGUACGGGCAGACUAGAGUGCGGUAGGGGGUGACUGGGAAUUCCGUGGUGUAGCGGUGGAAUGCGCAGAUAUCAGGAGGAACACCGAGUGGCGAAGGCAGGUCACUGGGCCGCAACUGA
Molecule: ribosomal RNA, 225 nt
Filed under: uncultured bacterium
Lineage: Bacteria
Description: partial 16S ribosomal RNA
Rfam family: Bacterial small subunit ribosomal RNA
Source: RNAcentral